CACGAUCCCCUCCUCUCGGCCUCCGUGGUCUCCCCCAACCCCGGCCUCCACUCCACAGCCGGCGCCGCCUCCGCCUCCUCCCGUGUCACCACCGCCCGUGAAGGCGCCUCCUCCCGUGACGAGACCACCGGUCACCGCGACGACGCCCCCGCCGGCGGCCGCACCGGCCGAGGCGCCCGCGGUGCUCCCUCCACUCGAGCAGCGAAGCCCACGGUUAGAUCCUCCAUCUCUCCUCCCACCGUCACAGGAUGACUCAGAUCCGAGUUUGACGAGGGACUCCUAGAGGAUCCCGACCUGGUUCGCCCUUCCUGUAUCAUCAGUUCAUCACCAGCGCCGACCCGUACGAUGCUAUCCCACAUGUCUCUUCCUUCCUUUUCCCCUGAGACAACAACAACCACGCUGAAUGUGAGGAGGUCGAGGACCCCAUCCUGGGGGUGCAGGAGUUGCUUGUUUGGUGUGGAUGUAGUUCACCCGCAAACUUGGUUGCCAGUGAUGAUGAAGAUGUAACAUGUGCAUUCUGUAAUAAUCUGAUAAUGAACAGUGAAGUUAGAUGCUAGCGCAUCCUCGGUAAUUUUGAAAAAAAAAUCAUGGCUCGAACCUUUUUAAAAGGAAAAAGUUAUUGUUGGAAUGAAAUAAUUUAGCGUAUCUACAGAUGCUGGUGGAUGAUAUUGGUGAUGUUACAAUCAAAAAUGAUGGAGCAACCAUUUUGAAGAUGUUGGAAGUCGAGCACCCAGCAGCAAAGGUGAUGCCUGUUAGCCAAAGCUUUCUAUUUUUAUUUUGCUUCUAUUGCUGCUUCGUGCUUAUCCUUUCGGGGGUCCAUUCAUUGUUAGAUUCUUGUUGAGUUGGCCAAGCUCCAAGAUCGGGAGGUUGGUGAUGGAACAACAUAUGUUGUCAUCAUAGCUGCAGAGUUGCUCAAGGUAUGAAAUGGAGCUUUAGCGGCAGUCUUUUUUUCGCAAUGAAUUUCCCAAGCAUUAUGCAUACAAAUUUACGAAGUUCUACUUUUCUUUACUAGAGCGCCAAUGAACUUGUGAGGAAUAAUAUCCAUCCGACCUCAAUUAUUAGUGGCUACAGGGUGAGCCCUGUAAUUUUUAUUUUAGCAGCAUUACCAUUUUUAUUUGAUUGAACAUUCUGAAGUCACAUUAUCUCUUACAUUUUUUUUGCCUUCAUAUUCUACCAGCUCGCUAUGCGUGAGGCUUGCAAGUAUGUCGAAGAAAAGCUCUCUGUCAAGGUAAAACCAUAGUUGCCUGCUUGAACAAAUGGCCACAUCUUGCUGCUCGAUUCGAGGCAUAUUGUCUUGCUGAAAUGCGUAUUCUUCUAUACUUUCAGGUUGAUAAACUUGGAAAAGAUUCCCUUGUUAACUGUGCAAAAACUGGCAUGUCUUCGAAAUUGAUUCACAGCGACAGAGAUUUCUUUGCAAAUCUGGUAAGUUCCUAUGGUCAUGUGUACUUCAGGUUUCUCAAUCAUGCCCCCUUUUUUACUUAUCUUUCUACUGUAUAACUCUGGAAUUUGAUUGUGUGGUUGUUAUGUUUGAUUAUCCUUGUUGUAUAUUUGAUCAGUGGUGUUUGUUAACUCUAACAUAAGUACUUUUAGACGAGAAAGUAAGUACUUAGUUUAUGCAUGUGUAUUGAGGUGUUCUGUCCACUGCUAUGGUUUGCUUUGGUCUGAUAUUUUUAUCUAACGAGGUUGCAGACACAUUGACCUGGAGCGACGAUGGAGAAGACGGGGCCAAAAAUCCAAAAACAUCUAUGCAGUGUUGCUAACAUAGUGGUAAGAUUUAUACUCCCUUGCCUCUUAUGCAGUGUGGCAGAUUUGGAAAGAAAUAAGCAGAGAACUUUUUAGGCCAAAGAGAUGGAUAUGGAAGAGUUUUUUUUUCAUGGGUGGAAUAGUCGGUCUCUGAAGUUAUUUACAAUGUUAACCUCCCUUUGGAAGCAUUUGGCACUUAGCCUUUCCUCCUGUGCAGCCGAGCUGACUUCUUGACAUCCUAAAAUAUGUGAAUAUGGGCAGGUGAUGGUAUUCAUAAGAGUAGCACACAAACAAAGAUUUGGGUGGUUUGGAAUUUUUAUCGGAGGUUUGUACUACUAUUGUGCAUGUUGUUCGUUAAUUUGUUUGUUGUUCUUGCACAUAGAUCGACAACCAAUCGUUCGGUGUUGUUGCAGGCCCUUUGUUGUUACAUAAUUUCAAAUCAAUUUUCUUAAUCAUGUACAAAUAUUUCAAUAAAUGGCUGCGUUAAACUAUGUCUACUAUCAUUACAGUUAGUAACUCAUAUUUUAUCCAAUAACAAGAGAUUGGCACUCAAUUAUCGAUUGUCAUGAAAAUAUUGAGUUCGGCACAUAGUCAAUAUUUUCUUCUUACAAAAGGAGUACAAAUCCUCUGCUACAACUUUUAUGGUAAAAAUAAUACUUACAUUAAAAUGAAACUAAGAUCUAACUAAAACAAAAAGGUUGUGACCAAUCAGAAAAUUGUCUUGCGUAUUUUUGUAAGUCCAUAUACCCCACAAAAAUAAUUCCAUACAUGUGGACGCAUCAUUCUAAAAAAAUCAGCAUGUUCACUGUGUAACAGUAUUGGCAUGAAAGGCCUAUUGAUGUAUGGUUAUGUUCAGUACCUUUGCGCAUGAAAGGCCUAUUGAUGUAUGGUUAUGUUCAGUACCUUUGCUCUUAUAUGUGAUACUGCUAUUGUGUGAAAUAUCAUUACUGUACAUGAUUUCACUCGCAUACACGAUGUUGUUAAGAUUGCUCUUACGGUAUUUUUUUUUUCGAAAGUCGAGUUUUGGUAACAGUUUCUUACAGAUUGUUGUCUUGAGGUUUACAAACAGUAAUUUGAAUUGGAGGUAAUAUGGGUGUUACUUUGAUCCAUGCUUUAAAAAAGAACAAUAUAGUACUUAAAUACGGGAGAUAAGAGAGGAGAGGGGAGCAAAGGUGAAGAUUGAAAGAGUUUCUCUACUAUUAAAGGGGGCACAUAUUAGAGGAGAAGGAUAACAAUUGUCUCGCAUUGGCCUUGGAUAUCAUGUCUUUAUUAUAAGCACACAUGAAGUUGAAGCUCUUGUACACACUAACAUAACAAUAUAAAAUACAUUCUUUGCAUUGCUCUAAAUAUACGAAAAAUAACGAGUGAUACCCUAUAUUUGAUUUACAAAAUCAGCAAUCAUUUGGGAUACUAUGUCCUCAAUUAGCAUGUAAUUGAUUAAAAUAUGCUUCUGUUUUUAUUAUAUUAUAUUUAUUUUUUACUUUGGUUAGCAUAUAUUCUCUGCAAUCAUUCCAACUGAACGGGUGAGGAAAUAAUUCCGUUUAAUGCCUUUGUUUUCCUUGGUUGUUUUUACGGUCCAUAUUUCAGUAUUUCUGAUCUUACCUUUUGAAGAUGGUAGAAAUAACAAUACACGUGGAUGUCAGUCCCUGCGAGUAUUCUCUCGGGUCACAGCCCGAUGGCACACCUGACGGCUACAAGUGCUCUAUCGAUGUUGAUCUUUGGGAGUAUUCUCUCUGGUCGUAGCCUGCCAGCACACCGGAUAGCUACGACUGUCGUCUAGGAGAUUGCAUGACUCUAGGUCACCGUCGCGGCACCGCUGCCGAGGUCAACUGUCGCCACCAUCAAGGUCCGAGAGGAUCAUCACCGCAGUACGUAACUGGUGGUAUCUUCUCUCUGGUGCUUCAUGUUGGUUCCCAUGGACCAUGUUGUUAUGUGUUGUGUUCCCUCCUGUAUCCCUCAUUUGAUUCUAACCUGGUAUUUCGAUUCGUUCUCUUGGUUUAGAUUAUGCAACAUUAGGUGAUCUUGUGUUUUCCCGCAUUUAUAGAAGUGGAUCACAGAUAGUAUAGGAUGGAGCAAAGAUAAAUGCCUUGAGAGGUGAGCUGCUACAAUUGUUACUGUGCUAUUACACAUCUAGGGGAAAUGGCUAGGGGAGAGAAGACUAUCGGGGAGAAAUAAAUAUAUGAGAUAGCUAAGAAUCAUGCCAAAAUUCGUCAUCUUCAAGCUGAACCUUUUGUCUCAACAGGUAACUUUCUGUUAGUACCUAGAAUAUAGUUUGAUGGAUGGAUUAGAAUAAUUGUAGCCUGGUUGAUGCAAUUGCUAAUUAUUAGGCACUGGAAACAGAAGAUUAGCUUUGACAAGUAGGCUAAAACUACCGAGAGUUUUCAUAUGACCAUGAAAUCAAAGUUGUAGAGGACGUCGAUAGCUUUCCAGCGGUAUCUUAAUUGCACAAUUCCUACCAACGGAUUGAAAGUUAUUGUUGAAACAAGUUUUGUCCGACAGUCUCCUUUUAAUGGUUACUGUAACAUGUUUCGAAACUUUAUGCUAUAAUAACAUUAGAAUUUUAAUGUGACCUGAACAUGGAACUUGUAGGUGAUUUUCUAUAGAUAUCUGAAGAGUACUUGUUUGCUUGAUUUGGAUAUUCAGAUUUAAAUGUGUAUAAAUAAUAAACAAUGGUGAGGAAAUGAUACAAAUACAUAAUUUGUUCAAGUAGCGCAAUUUAAGGCUUCAUUUAGUUCAAUAGCGUAGGUAAUUUUGGUCAUUUGAAACACCCAAAUAAAAUACUAUGGUAUUUUUUCCCACUUCAUUCUUAUCACGCUCACGCUGCUACUUCAGAAGUUACGCUAUGCUAAUUAUAAACAAAUUUGGUUGAUGUGGUCUAUCCAAGGUCUGUCCCCAACAAUCUAUAGCCGCACGCUCAAGGUUCAGGAAUUUGGAAAGCGGCAACACAUCUUCGCUAGAGCUGCUCUGGUAUGUUUUUUCACAUACCAAGAAUCAGGCUGUACACUUGUUCCUUACUUCAUUUAUAAGCCAUGUUCAUCCAUCCAUUUCUUAUAGAGGCUAGAGUUUUUAUCUUGUUCUUUAUGGCUUAGGUUCCAUCAACAGUUGUGUACUAUCAUUUUGCGAAGAUAGGAUGCCCUAUAUCAAAAUAAGAUAUAUGCAAAACAAUGUAGAGGUAUAUUGGAGGAAGCAAAAAUGAACUCAAACGUUUGGGGUAGGGAAAUCAUAUAAAAUUUUCUUAUUUGUUAUUAUUUUGCUUCACUUUCUCUGGUCUCAGUAGUUACGAAUUUUUGUAGAAUUAGUAGGCAUGGGUGUCACGAGGGCAGAGGCAUCUUAACUAAGUUCUUACCAUGCUCUGCCAGAUACCCUAAUAGUUAUUUCGUACAUGAACAAACUGCAAAAGAUAUGGGAUGGUCUGUCUUUGAUGGACGACAAGUACAUAUAUAAAGUCAACCAGACCAAGUGCCAUGAGAUUGAGUACUUCAUAAACCAGCUUCAAAAGAAGAGCUAUAUCAAGCCAUACCAGCUAUAAUUACCCUAGCCGAUGCAAAGAUAAUUGGUGACUGAUGUCCAUGGAAACAAAGACUUUAGCUUGCGAAUUUAUUCUUACAUCUAUUAUGUAUAUAUACUAUUAAUUUUCAGCUAUCUUGUGUGCAAGAAAUGCGCAUGGGAGGUUUCGGCUUCACUUAAGUGUGUCUACGGACAUUUAUACUUCUAUUACAUCUGCAAACUACAAAUAUGGAAUAUGAUUUUUUUAUAUAGAAUCUCUUAGGCCCCUAGCUGUAUUAGUUGGUGACCCCUAUGUUUGCUAACAGAGUUAGUUGAUGAUUCCAAUACGGAGAGCAUUCGGAUGUUGUAUAUUGUUUAUUUCUAAUCAAUAAACGAUAACUCUUAGAUUAAUAAUUCUCUCUAAUAGUAUCUGCAGUAUAUAUCUAAUAAUUGUCUCUUUGAAUAUUAAUUCAAGUAAUGUCUUUUGGCUUUUAAGUUUUACGAGCUUGCCGAUUGCUUAAAAUCAUUCUAAUAGUGUAUUAUUGUAUUUAAUUAAACUGAAACCUUGUAGCACUGUAAAAACAUAUUCUAUUUCCCUAACUUUGUAGAAAUCAUUCAUGUUCGUAACUCAUUUUUUGUCCGAGCGGAAUAAGAGUAAGGGUUGAGCGUAAGCGAGAUGUGAAUUGGCUAUGGUUUGUUUAGUUACUAUUGUCUGAGGGGAAUAAUUUCUUACUUUAGAAAAUGUGGCAUAUUCCAUUUCAUUAGAGAUGGCUUUGCAGCAAAUUGUAUGAGCGGGCCGUUCAUAUAUUUUGUCAUCAAGUCAUAUAAUUUUUUGCUUAUAAUAGACAGGUAAAUGCAUUGGUUGUUUGCUUCAAGGUUAAUAACAAACAAGCUGGUGUGUCGGUUGCAUGCUCAACAACAGACAUCAUAUUUUUUGUUUUGUGUUAAUGCAUGACAUUCACCCGCAUGCUAGAAUGUGGUAAUGUCUCACCAGACAUUGAAUCUGUCUUCUUGACUCGGGGGUGUCACACGGGCGGUGCAUGCCUCACUGCCUUGAUGGAGGUGGUGAAUCGACACGAACAAGCGAAGAGAGGGGGUUUAGGGUGGAGAGCGGGUUGGUUGGCAGGGGACUCCUCCUUGCCGAACCGUGGGGAAGCAUGGUGUGAAGGAGAGAGAACGCCGUGGCAAAGGUAAGGUGGGCGUCAUCCGAUUUUAAUGGAAGAAAUGUCUCGCUACGGUGGAAAACAGAACGUGAAGGGGAGGAUCCGACAAGAAAUGGGAAAGAGUGUGUCGUGGGUGGAGUUUUUAUGUUGGAACCACAUGUUCGAAUAACAUGACAUGUAGUUCGGUCGAGAUUUGGAUUUUGAGGAGCCCGCUUGGUUUAUAUAAGGUCGAGAAAUGUUUCAGUGUUUUCCAAAUUCAAACUUCGGUUUGGAGGUAAUAUCCUUGUGCAUAGAUAUGACCUACAUUUGAAUACAUGCACUUUGGUUUUAAACUCUUAACUAGAGUCACUCAUCUUUCAUAAUGUUGGUAGAGUGGAUGAACAAAUUCACCCCGAGUAUCCCGAUAUGUUGUGUCACCCCGAGUCAAAUUCGCAGUUUUCUCAUCCUUUUCUCGAAUAGUCUCUGACAUGUCCCACAGCUAUAGCACUCCGCCUCCUUCUGUACUUGUCAUCCGCACUUUGCCAUGUGCACUGAACCCCACAGAAUAUACGACCAUGUACUCUCUCCGCUUAUGACAAUUCAGACUUUCCGUCACUUUCUCAGAUUCUCCAUGGUCAACUACCGUCCAUCGAACCGCCACUGAUAGACCCAGUCACCAACUUGAAUCCGAUACUCGCCAACACUGCUUCAGCACCCUUUGCACAAUUUUGUCUGACCACAUGUCUGACCACCAGUGCCUUGGUCUAUCGCUGUGUUCCGUGCUUAUCGCACGCCUCGCCGCUAUCACCGCGUGGAGCCUCUGCCGUCCUGGUCGAGUGUCCAAGGCCGCGAACCCACAGCACUCAACCCCCACUGCAGAGAACCACCGAUCAUCACCGACCGAUGCCGAGUAUCACGUCUCCAUCAGACCUCUGGUACCCAAUCUGAUCCACGCGUCUCUCGCUAUCCCACUGAAAUAGGCUACGAUUCUCCGAAUUCUUACCCGUAGCCCCUCCAUCAGCACAGAGUGAAGUCUUUCACCAGACUCCAGCUUCACCUUCAACAUGACUCCAUGUAGCUGGUCGUGCUACCCCACGCCCUGUCGACUUCAAGCUCUUAUGUGUGCACUGCCUUGAAUCAACCCUGCGUCAUAGUCUGUCGAAGCCGCACAAGCCCUCAUGCAUGCACCACGUGUUUCCACGUCCCAGAAGUUGGCCACCAUCAGCAUCACGCUCCUAUGUCGUCGUCGCUGAAAUCACCGCCGUCUUCUGCUUUGACCGACAUCCCCGUCGAUCUGUCAGACUGUCUAGUCCGAACUAGCCGAAAUUAACCGACUGCAACCAUGCUCCACCCUGCGUCAUGCCCUCUAUACAUCUCCAUGCAUUGACUGACGUCCUGUGCUUACAUGAUCUUACCAACAUACUCCAAACUUCUCUGAGGCUUAUACGCAUGUUGCCAGUCUUGAUUUCCUUUUGAUCAUCACGUCGAACAACGUUGCUGCUGCAAUCGAACCAUCUUCAGGAUCCACGUACAAAAAGCAAAGAAUUUCCAAAAAAUAGCAUCAUGAUCCUUCUUGUUUGCCCGUACACAAGUUUCCAGACUAUUCUUCUCAUCCUUCACACACAUACCCAAUUGAUCCAUGGCCAUCAAUGUUCACGCCUUAGUGACAAGACAGCACCAAGCGACACCAUUUGACUGCAGCAAAACAACAUCCUUUUCUUUAACAAAUCUCAUCACCGCAACAGCGUGCGUACAACAGCCCGAGUACCGCGGUCCAACCUUACGCCCAUGAACACCAGCCUCCAGCGCGGUCUCCACGCCAGCUUGGGCCAAUCCGGCAGCACACCAGGCCACUUUGCCUUCGACCACACGCCAGAUCGAUCUGGAACCCCGUAACGCUAUGUGACGCCACCACGUGGGCACGAUUCAAUCUCGAUCUGAACUCACCAAGUUCUCUGGUACACGCCGCCGCCGCCGUGUCCGAUCAAUCUGCUCCCAGGACAUGUUGAACCGAUCUCGUUUGAGCACUGCCAUGUCCCCACGCAUGCUGUCCGGUCUCCAUCGCUCAAUUCCCUGAUUGCUUAUAACCGAUCUCAUCAACAACCCAACGACCAUCACGGAACAGUCACUUCCGCACAUCAUCUUUGCGCCGAACUUGAUGACGAUCCAUCCUCUAAAUCAACAAAUCGACCUUCUCGUAACCUUGCUCAUGAUACCACUUGUUAGAAUAAUCCGANACGACUUCAUAUCCUGUCUAAACACAAUACUACUCAGAGUCCAACUGUAACCUACCUUGUACAAUAAUAUUCGACACAACUCUAACACACACAUGUAACUCAUCCUUCUUUUCUUUUGGCGGGUGGAUCUAAUCCUGAUAUGCUUGAAAUCCAAUGAUAUAUAUACCGGCCGGCCACCCUCUAGAUCAUUUGUGGUUAUGUAUGGCCACUCUCUUAUUAAAGUUGAAAAUCACGUUGUAAUCACAAAAUGAAACAGUUAUCCGCUGUUGAUACAGAUGUGAACAUUGUAUAUUUUCAAAGAAUUGUGGCUAGGCUGCACAAAAACAUACAAACAUGUGGAUAUAAUAUUUGGUAUUGCAGAUUCACAUAUUUAUCGUCAGAGUUUGUUUGUAUUCCAUGGGCUGUGUUUUUUCCUCACCAAGGUUUGGGCCUCACUUGGCUUGUAAAAAAACUUCAAAAUUUUAUUAUGGAACACAUGGAAAUAUUGAGGAUUUGUUGGAACUAUACAUAUUCUUCAAAUUGACAAGUACAGAUAUUUAAUUGUUCCCGUUAUCAGAAUAUCUGCACUUUUCUCCUAAUAAACUGUUGGUUUGGCUCACUUUCUUCUCCAAAUUAUUUUCGAGCUCGUUUAACAAGCCCGGUUUAUGGAACACUAAAUUCAUAGGAAAAUUUUAAAAACAGGCAUGAAGCUUGUGGCCGGAAUGGAGUACCACGUACUCUCUCAGUCCCAAGAUUUUUGUUUUGGAUUUGUCUAAAUACGGAUGCAUCUGAUCAUGUUUUAGUGUUACAUACAUCCAUAUCUAGACCACUGUAAGACAUGAAUUUUGGGACGGAGGUAAUAUAUGUUUUGGUUUUCAAGUAUGACAACUCUUGACCUCUGCAAAAUAAGCAAAAUAAAUCUUUCCUUUUACACGGCUAUUUGAAGACCAAUCUUUUCACGAAUAUACUCUGCCCCGUAACAUGCAUCCAUGGUUUUGUUUUCCAGUCUGGUACAACUUUACUUCCAAAUAUGUAUAGGGUGUAUCUAAACACGUUUUAGUAUCAGAUACAUUCAUAUUUAGACAAAUCUUAGACCGAUAAUUCAAGAUGGAGGAGGUAGUAUAGUAGCCUUAAUGCGCCGAAACCAUGAGCAUUGCUAGAAGAAGACUUGGCCUUACUAUGAAUUAAAGGUCAACCAAUCACAUGCCUAUGGGUUGUUGAGUCGAGAUCUGAUCGUGUUUUCACUGAAAGAAGGUUUCACAAGAAGUUACUUAUGAUUAUGAAGGGUAUUUUUUUCAUUGAUAUUUUACUUUCCCUAUAAGCCAAGAAGAUGCACACAACCAAUAAUACAAUUAUUACAGAUUCAAAAUAAGCCCUAGGUCUAUGAAGUGGCUGAAAUACAUCCCCCCCAAAAAAAGUGGCUGAAAAAAGAAGGAAAAGAAACUCUAAAAGAGUAUCAUGCGACAAUUAGUAUCGAAGACAUCCGUCCCCAUGGGCAGUAGCCGCGGCAAGAAUCACCCUCUUAACAUUCACUGAAUUCUUUUUUUCCUGAAUACCAGCAGUAUACAACAAAUAUAUCAAUAGUACCACAAAAUCUUUGGUAUCCAUAUGGAUACCAAGGACUACCCAUGGCACUACCCCCUCUAGAAGUUUCCUUCCUUCUACCAUAAGUCCCUUGAACCCUGUCUUUUGCAGUAGCGCCCAUGACAACAAUAACUUGCGACACCCGAAGAAAACCUAGUCUGGAUGACACAAUAUUUUCUUGCAGAAAUAACAUCAUUGCGGCACAACCAAAUAGCUUAGCACCCAUGACAGUAGAGAGUAAGACGUCAUCCUAGAUCAUCUAUCCAUUGCCCAAGCAUACGUGUGAUGCUAGUUUGAGGAAUAAAAAGAAUAUGUGUACUAUCCAUGCGAAGCGAGCAAGCGUGAGCAAAUGAUCUUUGGUGAAAGCUAUGCCUUACCCAAAUUUGUUUGGAGUUGCAUUUCUAACUUUCACGUGCGAGGACAAGAAAAUGUUAAUACAAAUGAGUUCAUACAAAUUUGUACAAAGUAUAAUUAUGUGAAAUCUAACUAGUAGAUUUUUAGUGCUUCCAAGAAACUUCUUGGGUUUCUUCUAAACUCGUACCUAUAAUUUUUAAAAUUAUAUACAUUCAUGAUAUCCAUGUAACUCGGGAGCCAAAUUUGUGUUGCACAUUUUUUAUCCGCAUCAAGAUCCAUAAAAUCAUUUUAAGGCGGUGUACUAGAGCUAGCACAACUAAAAAAAUGAAAAGUGCUACUACUCAUUUGGUAUCUGUACGGCUGCUAGCUAUUUCGUUCUCCUAGAUUGCAUGGCUGAGAUGUUGAUGAUAUGUGUGGUUGCUUCCAUUGCAUAGGGCGGCAGCGACGGCGACUUGGAGAACAACAUAGACCAGGCUCAUGAGCGUGCACUGCAGCUAAUCAUACGUGUGCUGGCUAUAGUGGGUUUGCUCACUUUGAUUAUGGAUGUGCGCAUGGUGCUCUACAAGCCGGCUAGUGGAGUAGUCUUCGGCCACAACAAGCUCGCCUACUACAUCACCCUUGCCGUCAUCUUUACCUUUGGAGUUGGAGAAGUUUUCAUUGCAGUCUGGAUUUCCCGGUUCAGCAACAGCAAGAGGCGUUGCUGGAUCGGGGGCUUUGUUCUAUUCCUCUCCAUUUGGCCAUUUGUUGGAAUACUCAGCAUGGGCGGUUUCACUUAAUGUAUGAAAUAUGGUCAGAGAAUUCCUUAAUGCUAUUUUUCUUUGUUCUUCAAUAAAAUAGCAUAACACUGCAUGCAUUUUUUAAGGAAUUGAUUAUUUUCACUAAACCAUGCUUCAUUUUGUAUUAAGUUUUGCUUCAAAGAGUAAUGACGUUAUUUGGAAAAAAAAUUAAAAAUAUYCCACCUAUCAACCGUGGACAUGGACGGUUGGUCGGAUGGACCAAUUUACUAGUUCAAGCAAAAUCUUAGAAAAGUAGUUUUCUAAAGUUUCGCCUUCCUUGUGACUACCACUCGAGAGGCCAAUGACAGGGAGGCGUAUCCCGGUGCCUCUGCUCCGGCUAGUAGUUUAGGUUAGCAUCUUUUAGUCGUCGCGGGUGCGACGCUUGGGUGGAUGGCGGCAGUUCUAUGAGUUUAUCUUCUGGGCACCGAUCUUUUUCGAGUUCAUCCGAAGUAGUCGACGGAACUCUCACGUAGAUUCCCACUGUCUCCUGGGGCGGUGAGUUUAGGAUUUCUCGUAAUACUUGCUAGAUGACGAGAUUCGAUGCCAAGUGCUUCAGAUCAAUUCAAGGGUUCGACGAUAAUGAUUGUGGUUUUAGCGUGCUAGUCGUUAGGCGCAUGUGCACGAAGACUUCUCGACUAACAUCGACAAGGUCAAGUCGGCUCCGAUACAGGAGCAGUGACAACGGUGCGUCGAUAGCAAAAAAUAGGAAGUUAUGAUGUACUCAACUACCAGUGUAGAGCUAAUCCAGUUGGUCAGGUAGUCAAGAUGAAAAUAUUUCUAAUUUGUUGGCUCCUUAGGUGGGCUUGAGAAGAAAAUAUUUCUAACUUCAAAAAGCUUUAGCAUAUUAUUUUCGCUUUUACCAUUGGGGAGUUGUGCUUUUUUUUUCUUUUUUCUCUUUAAGAGCUAGCGGGGAGUUGUGUUAAGGAAAUCAUCAUGCGUUCUUUGAUUAGGCCCCACAAUAUAUAGCACAUCUUAUAUAGUUUGGAUUGUUAGAAACAAUUUUGUAACAGAUAAAUCUAUAUUCCAGUCAACCUUUACAGAAUAUUAUCUUUUAUGUAACAGGGGCGUCCAUUGUGCAACGAGAAGAAUAAGGUCGUUAUCAGUCUAUGGUGGCAAGAUGUGGAUUGGUGGUGGUGAAGCCGGUGCAAGUCAGAUAUCCAACCUUGGUUGUUUCUUGUUCUAUUUUAUCUAUUCAGCAAUGACGAUUUCUACGCCCUUUGUUAAGCUGUUGCCCCAGCAAUGAUACAUCAGUACUCUCAUCGUGGUUUGAUGUUUAUUUGAAAAUAAUAGUGUGGUUGUAUGAAAAUAAUUAUUGAUGUUGCUUCAACAUGUAUGUUUGCAAUAAAUAUUAAUGUGUAUUCAUACUGUUAACAAUCUCAGGACUUUUGCUUUGGGAUGUUGUUACAGCAAUAAUUCACUUGGUGGAUGUUGUAUGGCUCAAUUUGUUUUUCUAAAGAAGUAACAAAAGUUUAGCACAUCUUUGUAAUAACAUUUGGGACAAACCAAUCCAUACUGCUUUCAUAAAUUACACCAAAAUCUGCUGAACCGACCCAAAAUUUGAUAUGAUAUUUCACCAUGUCAUUUCAGCCAUAACAAAAAUAAAUAAGAAUAACAACAGUAACAAAGGUAUGCAAGGAGAGCAAGUUUAUAACUUCAAUUCCUAAUGAUCCAACAGCCUUAUUUUUUGGGCGAAUAGUAGGAGUACUUCCAGCCUUUUUAUCAAGCGAUGCACACAUUCAUCUAUUUAAUCCAACAGCCUCAUAUCUUCCAAUGGAUCGAGUGAAGGAUGGAGAUGAAAUUAUUACGGGAAACAAACAAUCAGGUUGUUAGUUAGUACCUGGAGGAGCUCGAUGGGAGCCCUCGAAGUGUAGUGCUCCCUUGUCCUUUCGCGCGUCCGUAGAGGGCUAGAGGCCAUGCGCAGCUACCUCGCCGGAAGGCGAGAACACAUGCACGUACGUGACUUACUCCGGUGCCUUGCUUGGCUGCUCUUCAUGUCACCGGCGAGGUGCGUCGACCUUGGUCGAGCUUUACGGCCGCGCCUAGCUUAUCUUCCUGCAUGGUUACGAGCUCGAUCGAUCAAUCGGACGCCAUCCAGGACCUGGCGCAGAUCUGCAUCUGAAUCAUUGCAGCAGGAGAUGAUGGAGAGGGUCAACGGUGGAUGAUUGCGGUUUAAUAUCGAGAAGAGAAAGGAUUCCGGGGCAGAGGAAGAAGACUUUAGGGAAGAGUACAAUACAGCGAGCACCUUGUGCUUGCGGCUUCUCUAAUUUAUUAUGUUGGCUCGUUGGUUCUGCGCACCAACGUGGUGCGUGUAUGUAG
This 13617-nucleotide long non-coding RNA is filed under the name Hordeum vulgare. RNAcentral describes it as "long non-coding RNA (HVUL_LNC006350)". Lineage: Eukaryota; Viridiplantae; Streptophyta; Magnoliopsida; Poales; Poaceae. The record is from RNAcentral.